CGGUACCCUGACCGCGCGAAGGUAGCAUAAUCACUUGUUCUUUAAAUAGGGACCUGUAUCAACGGCAUCACGAGGGCUGAACUGUCUCCUCUCUCCAAUCAGUGAACCUAACCUCUUCGUGAAGAGGCGAAGAUUUAAAUAUAAGACGAGAAGACCCCAUGGAGCUUUAAACCAAAUAACACCCUCUUUAAUAUACACCCUAAGAAAUAAGAAGCCUGUUAGCUAGUUUUCGGCUGGGGCAUCCGGGGAGUAAAACCCAACCUCCCUGACAAACCAUCACAGAGCUACCACUCUAAGAGACAGCAAGCUGUAGUAACAUGACCCGUCUAUCGACCAACGAACCAAGUUACCCUGGGGAUAACAGCGCAAUCCAUUUCGAGAGCCCCUAUCGACAAAUGGGUUUACGACCUCGAUGUUGGAUCAGGGUAUCCCAGUGGUGCAGCCGCUACUAAAGGUUCGUUUGUUCAACGAUUAAAACCCUACGUGAUCUGAGU
This 494-nucleotide ribosomal RNA is filed under the name Phrynobatrachus francisci. Its description in RNAcentral is "partial 16S ribosomal RNA". It matches the Rfam family "Bacterial large subunit ribosomal RNA", at positions 1934 to 2610 of the family's 2925-position model. Lineage: Eukaryota; Metazoa; Chordata; Amphibia; Anura; Phrynobatrachidae. The record is from RNAcentral.